CCUACGGGUGGCAGCAGUGGGGGAUAUUGCACAAUGGGGGAAACCCUGAUGCAGCGACGCCGCGUGGGGGAAGAAGGGCCUCGGCGCGUAAAGCCCUGUCAGCAGGGAAGAAAAUGACGGUACCUGAAGAAGAAGCCCCGGCUAAAUACGGGCCAGCAGCCGCGGGAAUACGGAGGGGGCAAGCGUUAUCAGGAUUUACUGGGGGUAAAGGGGGUGCAGGCGGGGGUGCAAGCCAGGAGUGAAAGCCCGGGGCCCAACCCCGGGAGUGCACUUGAAACUGCGGGGCUUGAGUGCAGGAGGGGCAGGCGGAAUUCCUGGUGUAGCGGUGAAAUGCGUAGAUAUCAGGAGGAACACCGGUGGCGAAGGCGGCCUGCUGGACUGCAACUGACGUUGAGGCACGAAAGCGUGGGGAGCAAACAGGAUUAGAUACCCUAGUAGUC
RNAcentral lists this ribosomal RNA (440 nucleotides) under uncultured bacterium. RNAcentral describes it as "partial 16S ribosomal RNA". It matches the Rfam family "Bacterial small subunit ribosomal RNA", at positions 338 to 795 of the family's 1533-position model. The record is from RNAcentral.